RNAcentral lists this microRNA precursor (98 nucleotides) under Ornithorhynchus anatinus (platypus). RNAcentral describes it as "microRNA oan-mir-194 precursor (oan-mir-194-1)". Its record names the gene oan-mir-194-1. The stretch from base 9 to 87 matches the Rfam family "mir-194 microRNA precursor family". From Rfam's summary of the family: The hairpin precursors (represented here) are predicted based on base pairing and cross-species conservation -- their extents are not known. In this case the mature sequence is excised from the 5' arm of the hairpin. The record is from miRBase by way of RNAcentral. Lineage: Eukaryota; Metazoa; Chordata; Mammalia; Monotremata; Ornithorhynchidae.
GAGACCAACAGUGUUAUCAUAUGUAACAGCAACUCCAUGUGGAUUAUGCUGAUUUCCAGUGGAGAGGCUGUUACUUUUGAUGGAAACUGGCAAACUAC